RNAcentral lists this unclassified non-coding RNA (293 nucleotides) under uncultured Mycena. RNAcentral's name for it is "partial contains 5.8S ribosomal RNA, internal transcribed spacer 2, and large subunit ribosomal RNA". Lineage: Eukaryota; Fungi; Basidiomycota; Agaricomycetes; Agaricales; Tricholomataceae. The record is from RNAcentral.
AGCGCACCUUGCACUCCUUGGUAUUCCGAGGAGUAUGCCUGUUUGAGUGUCAUUAAAUUCUCAAACCUCAUAGGCUUUAUUGACUAUUGAGGCUUUGGAUGUGGGAGUUGCUGGCUUUUCACUAAGUCAGCUCUCCUUAAAUACAUUAGUGGUUACUGUUCUCCACUUCUUGGUGUGAUAAUUAUCUACGCCAUAGUGAAGAAAUAAAGUGUAGCUGCUUUCUAACCGUCCAUUUACUUGGACAACUUGAACCAUUUGACCUCAAAUCAGGUAGGACUACCCGCUGAACUUAA